AACGAACGCUGGCGGCAGGCCUAACACAUGCAAGUCGAGCGCGCCCUUCGGGGUGAGCGGUGGACGGGUGAGUAACGCGUGGGAACGUGCCCUUCUCUGCGGAAUAGCGUCGGGAAACUGAGAGUAAUACCGCAUACGCCCUUUGGGGGAAAGAUUUAUCGGAGGAGGAUCGGCCCGCGUUGGAUUAGGUAGUUGGUGGGGUAAUGGCUCACCAAGCCGACGAUCCAUAGCUGGUUUGAGAGGAUGAUCAGCCACACUGGGACUGAGACACGGCCCAGACGCCUACGGGAGGCAGCAGUGGGGAAUCUUAGACAAUGGGGGCAACCCUGAUCUAGCCAUGCCGCGUGAGUGAUGAAGGCCUUAGGGUUGUAAAGCUCUUUCAGCUGGGAAGAUAAUGACGGUACCAGCAGAAGAAGCCCCGGCUAACUCCGUGCCAGCCGCCGCAGUAA
This 449-nucleotide ribosomal RNA is filed under the name uncultured bacterium. RNAcentral's name for it is "partial 16S ribosomal RNA". It matches the Rfam family "Bacterial small subunit ribosomal RNA", at positions 29 to 523 of the family's 1533-position model. The record is from RNAcentral.